AGAGUUUGAUCAUGGCUCAGGACGAACGCUGGCGGCGUGCCUAACACAUGCAAGUCGAGCGGGGUCCAUCCAGUGGCAACACUGGGGAAGACCUAGCGGCGAACGGGUGAGUAACACGUGAGAAACCUGCCCUGAAGUCUGGGAUAACCCGAGGAAACUCGAGCUAAUACCGGAUGCCCCCACCGAGUCGCAUGGCUUGGUGAGGAAAGAUUCAUCGCUUCAGGAGGGUCUCGCGGCCUAUCAGCUAGUUGGCGGGGUAACGGCCCACCAAGGCAUCGACGGGUAGCUGGUCUGAGAGGACGAUCAGCCACACUGGGACUGAGACACGGCCCAGACUCCUACGGGAGGCAGCAGUGGGGAAUAUUGCGCAAUGGGCGAAAGCCUGACGCAGCAACGCCGCGUGCGGGAUGACGGCCUUCGGGUUGUAAACCGCUUUCAGUGGGGACGAAAACAGACGGUACCCACAGAAGAAGCCCCGGCCAACUACGUG
Molecule: ribosomal RNA, 490 nt
Filed under: uncultured bacterium
Lineage: Bacteria
Description: bacterial SSU rRNA
Rfam family: Bacterial small subunit ribosomal RNA
Source: RNAcentral